AAAAAAAAGAGGCCUUUUCGACCCAAAUUCUUCAAAUCCCUGAAUUCUUGAAAUUUUGACUCCACGAUCUGUUCAUCGAUUUUAUGGGAUAAUUGACUCGAGUGAGGAAUUUUGGGGCCUUCGUGGCCCUCUCAAUAUGCAUGAGGAUGGAUUCGUGGUGAACCCAGGUGAGAUUUUACAUGCCAAACAUAAAUACAAUCACAUUAGCAUGGGAUGAGAAAGAAUGAUGAGAAAGACUGAUACAUUUCUAUAAAAUAAUUGAGAAACACUAUGGUGAUCGAUAACUAAACAUAGCAAGAUAUGAUGAUGUGUUUAAAGAUUAAUCUACCAACUUAGAUGACCAGGACAAUUACUCUAGCCACUACCAUGAUGAGAAAGGACGAAAAUUCCCUUGAUCCUCAUUCGAACAAAAUUAAGACUAACGGAUAAGUUAAACAUUGGGCAUACGUGACAUGAACAAAUCUCAUAUUUUAGACCUGCCAUGUGUUAUCAUGUUGACGUGCCAUUAAAUGAAUCAUUAAUCAUAUAUGCAAAUAUGAACAAACAAAGCCAUAGACUUUAAAAUUGGAAUGGAGGGUUCCUGAGAUUGAUGCCCUAAAGAAAUCAUGCUCCAAACAACCUUAAUGACCAAGUCUAGCGAAAGUCGAAUUAAAAAAAUAAAAUAAAAUA
Molecule: unclassified non-coding RNA, 669 nt
Filed under: Hevea brasiliensis (rubber tree)
Lineage: Eukaryota; Viridiplantae; Streptophyta; Magnoliopsida; Malpighiales; Euphorbiaceae
Source: RNAcentral